RNAcentral lists this ribosomal RNA (408 nucleotides) under Rhodobacter sp. oral taxon C30. Its description in RNAcentral is "bacterial SSU rRNA". It matches the Rfam family "Bacterial small subunit ribosomal RNA", at positions 31 to 485 of the family's 1533-position model. The record is from RNAcentral. Lineage: Bacteria; Pseudomonadati; Pseudomonadota; Alphaproteobacteria; Rhodobacterales.
GAACGCUGGCGGCAGGCCUAACACAUGCAAGUCGAACGAAGCCUUCGGGCUUAGUGGCGGACGGGUGAGUAACGCGUGGGAACGUGCCCUUUGGUACGGAAUAGCCCUGGGAAACUGGGAGUAAUACCGUAUGUGCCCUUCGGGGGAAAGAUUUAUCGCCAAAGGAUCGGCCCGCGUUGGAUUAGGUAGUUGGUGGGGUAAUGGCCCACCAAGCCGACGAUCCAUAGCUGGUUUGAGAGGAUGAUCAGCCACACUGGGACUGAGACACGGCCCAGACUCCUACGGGAGGCAGCAGUGGGGAAUCUUAGACAAUGGGGGAAACCCUGAUCUAGCCAUGCCGCGUGAUCGAUGAAGGCCUUAGGGUUGUAAAGAUCUUUCAGAUGGGAAGAUAAUGACGGUACCAUCAGA